CGUUUGUGAUCAUUUGUUACAUCAGGAAAUCAACACACAGGAGAGAAAGGGCUCCCCAGGACCCCAUCCCUCCCACUGGGAACUGGCCAAGGAGUCUGAUGACAUCUUGAGAAGGGAGCCUUCCCAAAUCAUCUCACCUCCCUGUGAGCCAGAUCUUGGCAGCUCUGCGAGGUCCAUCGUCCCGGCUCUGUUCUGCCUGCUGAGGUUAUGACUUCAGCUGCAAGCAUUUCUUGCCAUGGUUCUGCUUUUGCCUCAGCUGGAUUUCAAGCAAUCACACUGUUACAAGGACCCUCGAGCAAAGGGCUGGGCUCCCAAGGUGUACAAGAAUAGCUUUCUGUAGCAGAUGCUGGAAGACUGGCCGAUGACAUUGGUUUCUUGGGGUGUGAUGUGCAUCACGCCAUAUUCGACACCUGAUGAGUUCUCACCAGCUGCAUCUCAACACAUGGAGUGUCUCCAUCGAGGCUUCGAUGAGGUCUUAUACCCAAACAGGAUCCUGGGAUGAAGGUUGCUAAGUGCUUAUGACAGUUCCUGGCAGACAGCAGGUGCUGGUUACUGGAAUAUGAAGAUUUUUUUCAAGUCUCUUUCAUGGCUGGCUUACUGGAAGAUAGCUGUGUUCUCAUUCCUGCCUCUGUAUUCAAUCUGGUGCAGUAUCAAACGUCACAAAACUUCUGGAAAACUCCAUGGAUUGUUGAGAGAGCAAGAGUGAGAAAGAUGGGUCUCAGUGUUACUAUGAGACUCUCUGUGACCUCAUGGAUGCCCCAGAGGGUCUAAGACUCCCAGAGGUCUCUGGCUAGACCACGCUGACGACCACAGUGUUGGCCUCAGUUAGUGCCUUUAUCCCAGAAUCCAGACAUCCAGUGAUGUGAUGAUGUGAUCCAGGGCUGAAGUCUGGCUUAGAUCCUCAGACACUAACCUAGAAACUGGGGGCAGGGGAACGCUCCGGUGGGCUGCAGGCAUUAAAUUUCCCUUUUAGUGUUUAUUUGUCUCUUCCGAGUGUUUUCUGCUGCUGCUCAGUCACUUCAGCUGUGUCUGACUCUUUGUGACC
This is a long non-coding RNA of Cervus elaphus (red deer), 1045 nucleotides long. RefSeq lists it as uncharacterized. The transcript has 4 exons. Lineage: Eukaryota; Metazoa; Chordata; Mammalia; Artiodactyla; Cervidae. The record is from RefSeq and is a predicted model, not a curated record.